GGAGGGGACCGUAAGGGGGCUCUAUCGGGGGGGGGGUUUCAAUAAUACAUGCAAGUUGAGCGCUGAAGGUUGGUACUUGUACCGACUGGAUGAGCAGCGAACGGGUGAGUAACGCGUGGGGAAUCUGCCUUUGAGCGGGGGACAACAUUUGGAAACGAAUGCUAAUACCGCAUAAAAACUUUAAACACAAGUUUUAAGUUUGAAAGAUGCAAUUGCAUCACUCAAAGAUGAUCCCGCGUUGUAUUAGCUAGUUGGUGAGGUAAAGGCUCACCAAGGCGAUGAUACAUAGCCGACCUGAGAGGGUGAUCGGCCACAUUGGGACUGAGACACGGCCCAAACUCCUACGGGAGGCAGCAGUAGGGAAUCUUCGGCAAUGGACGAAAGUCUGACCGAGCAACGCCGCGUGAGUGAAGAAGGUUUUCGGAUCGUAAAACUCUGUUGGUAGAGAAGAACGUUGGUGAGAGUGGAAAGCUCAUCAAGUGACGGUAACUACCCAGAAAGGGACGGCUAACUACGUGCCAGCAGCCGCGGUAAUACGUAGGUCCCGAGCGUUGUCCGGAUUUAUUGGGCGUAAAGCGAGCGCAGGUGGUUUAUUAAGUCUGGUGUAAAAGGCAGUGGCUCAACCAUUGUAUGCAUUGGAAACUGGUAGACUUGAGUGCAGGAGAGGAGAGUGGAAUUCCAUGUGUAGCGGUGAAAUGCGUAGAUAUAUGGAGGAACACCGGUGGCGAAAGCGGCUCUCUGGCCUGUAACUGACACUAAAGACUUCAAAAAGGGGAGAUUUGGAACGCG
RNAcentral lists this ribosomal RNA (789 nucleotides) under Lactococcus lactis. Its description in RNAcentral is "bacterial SSU rRNA". It matches the Rfam family "Bacterial small subunit ribosomal RNA", at positions 1 to 776 of the family's 1533-position model. The record is from RNAcentral. Lineage: Bacteria; Bacillati; Bacillota; Bacilli; Lactobacillales; Streptococcaceae.